AUUAUUUAUUUUUUUCCUUUGGUGGCCCUCAGUUCAGUGUUGGGUUCUUAAAUUGGCCCUCAGCUACCAAAACUUUGAGAACCCCUGGUCUAUUGCGACAGAUUCA
Molecule: long non-coding RNA, 106 nt
Organism: Salarias fasciatus (jewelled blenny)
Lineage: Eukaryota; Metazoa; Chordata; Actinopteri; Blenniiformes; Blenniidae
Exons: 3
Source: RefSeq, a predicted model, not a curated record